This 621-nucleotide ribosomal RNA is filed under the name uncultured Bacteroidales bacterium. RNAcentral's name for it is "bacterial SSU rRNA". It matches the Rfam family "Bacterial small subunit ribosomal RNA", at positions 65 to 680 of the family's 1533-position model. Lineage: Bacteria; Pseudomonadati; Bacteroidota; Bacteroidia; Bacteroidales. The record is from RNAcentral.
AUCAGUUUGGUUUGCUUGCAAACCAAAGCUGGCGACCGGCGCACGGGUGAGUAACACGUAUCCAACCUGCCUCAUACUCGGGGAUAGCCCUUCGAAAGAAAGAUUAAUAUCCGAUAGCAUAUAUUUCCCGCAUGGGUUUUAUAUUAAAGAAAUUCGGUAUGAGAUGGGGAUGCGUUCCAUUAGUUUGUUGGGGGGGUAACGGCCCACCAAGACUACGAUGGAUAGGGGUUCUGAGAGGAAGGUCCCCCACAUUGGAACUGAGACACGGUCCAAACUCCUACGGGAGGCAGCAGUGAGGAAUAUUGGUCAAUGGACGCGAGUCUGAACCAGCCAAGUAGCGUGAAGGAUGACUGCCCUAUGGGUUGUAAACUUCUUUUAUAUGGGAAUAAAGUUGUCCACGUGUGGAUUUUUGUAUGUACCAUAUGAAUAAGGAUCGGCUAACUCCGUGCCAGCAGCCGCGGUAAUACGGAGGAUCCGAGCGUUAUCCGGAUUUAUUGGGUUUAAAGGGAGCGUAGGCGGAUUGUUAAGUCAGUUGUGAAAGUUUGCGGCUCAACCGUAAAAUUGCAGUUGAUACUGGCAGUCUUGAGUGCAGUAGAGGUGGGCGGUAUUCGUGGUGUAGCG